GACGAACGCUGGCGGCGUGCUUAACACAUGCAAGUCGAACGGAAAGGCCCUGCUUUUGUGGGGUGCUCGAGUGGCGAACGGGUGAGUAACACGUGAGUAACCUGCCCUUGACUUUGGUAUAACUUCAGGAAACUGGGGCUAAUACCGGAUAGGAGCUCCUGCUGCAUGGUGGGGGUUGGAAAGUUUCGGCGGUUGGGGAUGGACUCGCGGCUUAUCAGCUUGUUGGUGGGGUAGUGGCUUACCAAGGCUUUGACGGGUAGCCGGCCUGAGAGGGUGACCGGCGACAUUGGGACUGAGAUACGGACCAGACUCCUACGGGAGGCAGCAGUGGGGAAUAUUGCACAAUGGGCGGAAGCCUGAUGCAGCAACGCCGCGUGCGGGAUGACGGCCUUCGGGUUGUAAACAGCUUUAGCCUGUGACGAAGCGUGAGUGACGGUAAUGGGUAAAGAAGCACCGGCUAACUACGUG
This 468-nucleotide ribosomal RNA is filed under the name uncultured bacterium. RNAcentral's name for it is "partial 16S ribosomal RNA". It matches the Rfam family "Bacterial small subunit ribosomal RNA", at positions 28 to 507 of the family's 1533-position model. The record is from RNAcentral.